This 557-nucleotide small RNA is filed under the name Pongo abelii (Sumatran orangutan). RNAcentral describes it as "retained intron". The stretch from base 173 to 227 matches the Rfam family "Small nucleolar RNA U82P". The record is from RNAcentral. Lineage: Eukaryota; Metazoa; Chordata; Mammalia; Primates; Hominidae.
UGUUUGAAUGCGUGUAACUUAAAUUAACCUUGUGGACCUUUGCUCAGCUCCGCUCGGCUCUGCCCGAUGAGCUCCAUCCAGGCUCCGCUUGCCGGUGGAAAAGGCUCCUUAGAAGCCGGCAAUGAGCCCCAUCCCCACGCGGUGCCAGUGUGCCUUCCGCUCACCCCUUGGAGGGGUGAUGAAGGCCUGCACCUGGUCCCCUCCCCAACUCUGCUCUGCUCCUGAAGGCAUAAAUCUAAGAAGAAGGCCUUUACCAAGUACUGCAAGAAAUGGCAGGAUGAGGAUGGCAAGAAGCAGCUGGAGAAGGACUUCAGCAGCAUGAAGAAGUACUGCCAAGUCAUCCGUGUCAUUGCCCACACCCAGAUGCGCCUGCUUCCUCUGCGCCAGAAGAAGGCCCACCUGAUGGAGAUCCAGGUGAACGGAGGCACCGUGGCUGAGAAGCUGGACUGGGCCCGCGAGAGGCUUGAGCAGCAGGUACCUGUGAACCAAGUGUUUGGGCAGGAUGAGAUGAUCGACGUCAUCGGGGUGACCAAGGGCAAAGGCUACAAAGGUGAGCU